Mauremys mutica (yellowpond turtle) is the source of this 1636-nucleotide long non-coding RNA. RefSeq lists it as uncharacterized. The transcript is spliced from 2 exons. The record is from RefSeq and is a predicted model, not a curated record. Lineage: Eukaryota; Metazoa; Chordata; Testudines; Geoemydidae.
GGGAGGCGCCGCGGCGGUGAGUCGACCGUUUACAGGAGAAUAUUCCAGUGGGAAGUUGUAUCCUGCAGCUAUGAAGGGCCUAUCAAAUGUAUGUUUGCCAACAUAUGGGGGCAGUUUCUCAUGCUGACUUCAGCUACACAUCCUGUAGGGCUCAGGACCAAUUCUGAGAGGAGCUUAGAAGAGCUGGUCAAAAAAUCUUCAACAAACUUUUUCCUGUUGAGAACUGCUGUUCUGUUGAAACAGAAAUGUUUCAUGGAAAUGUAUCCAUUUUGAUUAAAUUUUACUGAAGUCCAGGAUGGAAUUUCUGGAGAGCAAGAGACACCCACAGUGGUUAGGGCACUCACCUGGGAUUUGGAAGAUCUAAGUUGAAGUCCCUUCUCUACCUGAUUUAGGUAAGUGCUCUACCCACCAGGCUAUAGAGUCAAUCUCACGCUUUCAAUCAGGAGAAUCUGGAAUGUGGAAGACCUAGCUUCAAAUCCCUGCUCUGAAUCAAAAGAAAACCAAAAUCUUUUCAACGGUUUUGUGAAGAAAAAAAAAAGAGCGAGAAUCUGAAUCAGGCAGAGCCGGGACUUGAACUUAAGUCUCCCACAUACCAGCUGAAGGCCCUCAUCACUGGGUAGGUGUCUCUCUCCUGUUUAUUUAAAAAUAUUUUUUGAAAGAUCUUGGUUUUGUCAGGUGUGGAAUGAAAACUAAUUUGAAAAUCUUUUACGGUGAUGGAAUUCUUGUUCUCUAGCCACCCCAGAUUGCUGAGUGCCACCUGUGAGUUGCGGAGUGCCUUCAACUCCCUAUGGCAGAGAUGGCCAAACUUACUGACCCUAUGAGCUGCAUAUGACAAUACUUGCUGAAGCACAUGCCCCCUGUAGGAAGCACUUGUCAGGGUUCGGGGAUCCUGCCCCUGUGGAAGGUGCUUGCCGGGGCUUCAGCCUCGCUCCUACUGCAGCCCCAAGCCCUGGCAGGCAUGCCCCAUGGGGUUGAAGCCCCGAGACUCCCUCUCCCUGUGGGCAGAAGCCCCUAGCUCCAUGCUCCCCACCCCUCAGUCUUGUAGACAGAAAAUGAGGGACUGUGGCAGGGUUCUGCGAGCCGCAGUUUAAUUGUAACAGAGCCACAUGUGGCUCACAAGCCAUGGUUUGGCCACCCUUGCCCUAUCGCUUCAAUAGUUGAUAGUGCUCAGUACCUUGCAGGAUUAAAUAUGUUAUUUAAUGUAUUCAGAACUGUUUUGCUGUUUCUCAAGGCACAUGGUUUCUUGAAUUUUUCUGUUUACACGUCUUGAAAAAUGGUGUCGUUUGGAGGGCCACUUGGAGAGAGUAAGAGCCUGGAGGUGAGUGUGGAGGGGCUCUUGCUUGCUUCUUGUAGCCCCACUUGUUAUUUUGGACACCACCUACCACUUGCUGUUCACUUUAUAUGUGUCUUAAAUGUAUUGCAAUCUUUGGGCCAGGUUCUCCUGCAGUGCAAAACAGCGGGAACAUUUGUGGAGUUGGUCCUUUGAGGAUUCUCUUUUUGCAAGGGUAAUCUUUGGGUAGUGUGGAUCAGGCAUACUGGGACUCAUUCUCUGGUCGCAAGAAUUCCCAGGAGAAAGAAAUUUCACCAGAAAGUUCCUACACCUCAGCAAUCCCUGGUUGCCAAAACAAACAUUUGG